RNAcentral lists this unclassified non-coding RNA (754 nucleotides) under Hevea brasiliensis (rubber tree). The record is from RNAcentral. Lineage: Eukaryota; Viridiplantae; Streptophyta; Magnoliopsida; Malpighiales; Euphorbiaceae.
GAAAAAGAACAGGUUUUUGAUUUCUAAAGACAAACAAAAGAGAAGCGAAAAUGAUGCCUCAGAGCUCCAUCAAAUCCAGCGAGGCACAGCUCUUGCAGACCUUGAAUGGCCUUCAACAUCUUGCCGAGACUCAUCGUUUCAAGGCAUGGUUGUUGGAUCAAUUUGGAGUGCUUCAUGAUGGGAAGCAGCCUUAUCCGGGUGCAAUUUCAACGUUGAGUGAUAGAGGAACUGCUUUCUAUUCUCUGUUUGGGUGACAGUAAAAAAGCUUGCAAGUACUGGUGCCAGAAUGGUGAUUAUAAGCAAUUCUUCACGACGUGCAUCGACCACAAUGGAAAAAAUGAAGAGUCUAGGAUUUGAUCCCUCUCUUUUUGUGGGAGCCAUCACCAGUGGGGAGUUAACACAUCAAUACUUGCAGAGGUUAGCAUCCAUUGUUAUCCAUAUCAAUCACUUAUCAUAUGAGCAUCUAUAAUGGAUAACCUUUUAUGGGUUAUUCUAUUAGAUGAAACAACUCUAGUUAGAAUGUGCCUAUUUAAUUCUACUGGGGUUGAAUGACAUAUUGCAUUCUUUUGCAGGAAAAAAAAGUUAGUUGCAGACUUGCAGUAUAUGCUUCAUUGCUUUGGUUUAAUGAUGUGUAUACUUAGGCUUUUCUAGAUCUCUACAGUACAUUGAAGUUUUGUAGUAAUGGGUGAAUCAGGUUAAUCAUUAGAUAAUCAGUGUGCUUAUUUAUUUGUUUAUUUAUUUGUUAUUAUUAUUA